Molecule: ribosomal RNA, 440 nt
Filed under: uncultured bacterium
Lineage: Bacteria
Description: partial 16S ribosomal RNA
Rfam family: Bacterial small subunit ribosomal RNA
Source: RNAcentral
CCUACGGGAGGCAGCAGUGGGGAAUAUUGCACAAUGGGGGGAACCCUGAUGCAGCGACGCCGCGUGAGUGAAGAAGUAUUUCGGGAUGUAAAGCUCUAUCAGCAGGGAAGAAAAGGACGGUACCUGACUAAGAAGCCCCGGCUAACGACGUGCCAGCAGCCGCGGUAAUACGUAGGGGGCAAGCGUUAUCCGGAUUUACUGGGUGUAAAGGGAGCGUAGACGGUUAUGCAAGUCUGAAGUGACAGCCCCAGGCUCAACCCUGGGACUGCUUUGGAAACUGUCAAACUGGAGUGCAGGAGCGGUAAGCGGAAUUCCUAGUGUAGCGGUGAAAUGCGUAGAUAUUAGGAGGAACCCCAGUUGCGAAGGCGGCUUACUGGACUGUAACUGACGUUGAGGCUCGAAUGCGUGGGGAGCAAACAGGAUUAGAUACCCUAGUAGUC